GACGAACGCUGGCGGCGUGCUUAACACAUGCAAGUCGAACGGAAAGGCCCUGCUUUUGUGGGGUGCUCGAGUGGCGAACGGGUGAGUAACACGUGAGUAACCUGCCCUUGACUUUGGGAUAACUUCAGGAAACUGGGGCUAAUACCGGAUAGGAGCUCCUGCUGCAUGGUGGGGGUUGGAAAGUUUCGGCGGUUGGGGAUGGACUCGCGGGUUAUCAGCUUGUUGGUGGGGUAGUGGCUUACCAAGGCUUUGACGGGUAGCCGGCCUGAGAGGGUUACCGGCGACAUUGGGACUGAGAUACGGCCCAGACUCCUACGGGAGGCAGCAGUGGGGAAUAUUGCGCAAUGGGCGGAAGCCUGAGGCAGCGACGCCGCGUGCGGGAUGACGGCCUUCGGGUUGUAAACCGCUUUCGCCUGUGACGAAGCGUGAGUGACGGUAAUGGGUAAAGAAGCACCGGCUAACUACGUG
This 468-nucleotide ribosomal RNA is filed under the name uncultured bacterium. Its description in RNAcentral is "partial 16S ribosomal RNA". It matches the Rfam family "Bacterial small subunit ribosomal RNA", at positions 28 to 507 of the family's 1533-position model. The record is from RNAcentral.